GGAAAUAUGACCUCAUAGGAAAGCUGAGGACGGCCAGAAUUCAUGGGCACAGCAACAGACCGUCCAUGGGGUGUGCAGCCCUGCCUGUCCUCCACCUGGAGAGAGCAGCAGACCGGGUGCCCCUCCCUGAGAAGCCUCCUGGCGACAUGUCCCGUUGUUUGUGCUCCCAGAGCACCCCACACCUCCCCAUCUAGCCUAGGACUGGGCUUGCUCGUUCAGCUUGUCUGUCCACCAGACGGAGGGUUCCUGAGGGCCAGGACUGGAAUGUUCUCCACACCCAUGCACAGGCAUGUUUCUGCAUUCUCGUCCCGCAUGAGCCAGUGGCCACAGCCCAGCAGCCUUGGCAAAAGGAAGAGCCAACCCACUCCUCCCACGGCCCUGAGCUGAGCAGGUGUGUGUCAGCAGCCCAUCAGUGCCCUUGUGUAUGUGAUGUCAAGAGGCUCUGGGUGUGACAAAGCACACGUGCGUCACCCUGGGUAAGUACCCAUGUUAGGAGAAGGUCACAGAAUGUGGGCAGGGAGGGGUGUGUGUGUAAGAUAGACACUGGAGGGACGAGACCUCAGCUCUCAGCCCUGCUGGGAGGUCUUGGGCAGGGGUCCAGCCCAGCGUGGGCAUCAAAUUCUUCAUCUGCAACUUGGGGGGUGGGGUGGGCGUGGGGCUAAAAGGUACACAGGCCUUUCCACCUUCAAUAUUCUGUAGCGAGCUGUCCAACAGAACUUUCUGUGAUGAUGGAAAUACUCUGUGUUGUCCAUUAUGACAGGCACUAGCCUCAUAUGGCUAUAGAGCAUUUGAAGUGUGGCUAGUGGGACUGAAGGACUGAAUUUUUAAUUUUAUUUCAUUUAAAUCAUUAUAAGUGACUAGUGAACACCAUAUUGGAUAGUGAGGUUUUAUGUGGAUAAGAACAGGCGCUCCUGAACCAGGCAAACCAGAGUUCAAAUCGUGGUUCAGCCUCUUACCAGCAAGUUAUUUAACCUUGGUAAGACUAUUUCCUCCCCUGUAAAAUGUAAGUGAGAAUAGUACCCACCCUGAGCAGCUGUUUCAAGGAUCCAGUGAGAGAGUAAGGUAUGCAGUGGGUUUAGCCCAGUCCCUGGAGUAUAGUAAAUGCUCAAGAAACAACACCUUUUAUAGGCAUCAUGAUCUCCGAAGUGAUGAGAACAGCCAGCAUCAUCAGAGGCAAAUUGGACCUUGUCUGCCAAGCUCGGGGAAGGAGCAAGCCAGGACAGGAGGUGUGGGGAGGCCAUGGUGAGGGGGUGGGGUGCUCCCCAGGGCCCAGCAGCCUGUCCCUGGAUAUGAGCAGGCAGGGAGGCCGCACCUGGGUCUCCGACUGACGGAUGGGGAGGUUGCCGUGAUAGUGGGUCCAGUGUGGCUGAGAAUGUGUGGACGUGCUAAUGGGCCGUGAGAAGCAGGAUUCACCCUGGGAGAUUGCUUCUCAGCUGCCUGGUAAGCAGAGUGUCCUAGGAGCUGCUGGCUGCCACCCACAGCAGGCUCAUCACCCUCUCUGGCCUAAAACACCCCAAAAUGCUGACAUGGCUGCAGAGGCGGCACCAGGAACAUUAGACGGGGACUCAGGAGGCCUGGGUCCUUGGCUGCCAACUUGCUUAUCCUUCCAUUUGAAAAAUGGAGAUGAGGAGCCCCAGCCCCAUUUCCUCCUGGGCCAGCUGUGAGAAGUGUCUGCUACGUAGUGAUAAGAAGAGGUUCCUGAUACCCAAGACUGGUUACUGCCAACUUCCCCUAAAGGAACCCUCCCCUCCUUUAUGCCGGAGCCUCCCAGAGCCCACGGCAUUUGCCUGCGGGUGUCAGCAGACGGGGACACUGCUUACGGGGCUUCAGUCACCGAACCCCCUCUCCACUCUGCCCUCCUUGGGGGUCUGAUGAGCAGGAGUCCUGACAAUCUCUAGGGUCUUCCCUUCAUUGGCUGCUUCCUCAAACACACCCAGGUCUCCCACAUUCUGCAACAAUAAACAACCUUCCUUCUCCCAAACUUAAAAAAUUGAAGAAAAAGCAAGAGUGUUUCUCUCGACCCAGCAACCUGGGCCACUUCCUUCCUCCCUUUGUUGCUGCCAAACUUCCAGAACAAGUGUCCGACAUCCACCGCCUCCUCUUCCCACCUCCCACACUCCAUGAACCCACCACAAUCUGGUUCCCACCUCCGGGCUCCCUGGAAGAAAAGUUGUGCCAGGCCCGUCCCCCGAGCCCCCUGCCAGCCCCGGCAUCCCCCACUAGGUCUGAUUGAUCUGCCUAGAUUGCCCCACUGACCACCCAGCUUUGAGACCUAGCUUCCCUCUUCUUUCUGCCACACUCUCCCCGGACCGCCCCCGCCACUUGCUGACAGUGCUUUCACUUCUUCAUCCCUCCUCCCCACAGCAUUGCUGCUCCCUGCUCGCUCUCCACCCAUUCUUACCUCUUCCCCCUCCAUCCCUUCUACCCAGGACCAUUAGCUGGGAUUUCUGGGGAGGCUCUGGGCGUUCACGAACACACCUAAAACUUCAACAAAUUUAUUGUAUGUCUGUGCGUUGUUCUGGGCAGAGGAUGUAUAUUUUUCAUUAGCUUGACAGAGGAUUCUCUGACACCCGUCCCCCCAAAAAUGAUGAAAGCCACUGACUAUCACCCAAGGUUGAAAUCUUCUUCUAUACCGCUCCUCCUCUCUUCAGAAUGCUAGUCCCAAAUUUCUAGCUACUCACCAUCUUGCCUGGAUGCUAUGUGAUAGGCACCUCUUAAUCAAAGUCCACUCUCCUCCCCCCAAAUCUCCCCACUCUGGGUUAAUAUACCUAAGCAUUCUACCUCUCUGAGACAAGCUGGGGUGAUUUCAGAAAGUUCCUGCUCGGGACUUCCCUGGUGGUCCGGUAGUAAGAUUCUGUGCUCCUAAUGCAGGGGGCACAGGUUCAAUCCCUAGCUGUGGAACUAAGAUCCCAAAUGCCACAUGGUGCAUCACGUGGCCAAAAAAAAAAAAAAAAAAAAGGAACGUUCCUGCUCAAAUGUAUACAGACCUGUUAUCUCUAAGAGGAUUAGCUUCCAAUACCUCUUGGUGGUCAGUAACUUACAGCCCAGGUUAGCUGAUCUGAUCACUUGGCAAAGAGCAAGCCCUGGGGGCAUGGAACCCAGAGCAGAUGGAGUUUGAAUGGCUGGGGGAAGGGACAGAGCUGGGGCUGGCCACCAGAGCAGCUCCACCGCAGGGGUCAGAGCAUGGGCCACACGUGGCUACAUCGGAAGCUGCAAUAGUAUCUUGCCAUUGAGAUCCAUUCUCUCCCCAUUCUACAGAUAAAAAAACUGAGGCCAAGACCUUGAACCCAGGACUCCUGACUCAUCGUCUUUUGCUCUUUCCAAUACCCCAUACUCUCGCAUCAGAGGGCCCUAACUUGGGGUCCACAGAUGGGCGUUAGGGUGGGAGGAUCUGUGGGAAAUAUUAUACAACAUUCUGUGAGUUGGAGUGAGUGUGUGUUUUCAGGGGUGACUGUGGCUCAUAUGAGAUUCUCUGAGGGCUCCUAGAUUCCUCAAACAGUUAAAAAUCUGGGAUCAGAUUUGUUCAGAAAUGAAAUGAACAUCUUGGUUUCCAAAACACCCACCUCUACAUACUUUAAGCAAUUCCCUUCACUUUUGGGGGGACCUCAGUUUACCCAUCUGUGAAAUCAACUGUUGAUCAUUUUUAAGCCCUCUUUAUUUUUUUUGUUUGAAGCAAUAGUAUCAUUUCUUUUUUUUUUUUUUUUUUUUUUUUGGGUUCACGGGCCUCUCACUGCU
Aethalodelphis obliquidens (Pacific white-sided dolphin) is the source of this 3735-nucleotide long non-coding RNA. RefSeq lists it as uncharacterized. The transcript has 3 exons. NCBI's taxonomy places the organism in Eukaryota, Metazoa, Chordata, Mammalia, Artiodactyla, Delphinidae. The record is from RefSeq and is a predicted model, not a curated record.